RNAcentral lists this ribosomal RNA (897 nucleotides) under Triticum aestivum (bread wheat). Its description in RNAcentral is "partial small subunit ribosomal RNA". Lineage: Eukaryota; Viridiplantae; Streptophyta; Magnoliopsida; Poales; Poaceae. The record is from RNAcentral.
AUGCAUGAGGCGCGCCCUUUAGCCGUCUGCAAAUAUACGGCAACUCAAGGCUAUAAGAGUCUUGAUAAGAAAGCCGGUAGGAGACUCCGUCUUGAGAAGGACAAGUACAUGGAGGUUACUCCGAGAUGGUGCGUCGAUAAGGGGGAGUGUUGGGAGCGGAUCGUGGACUAUUGGUGUUCCAAAGAGUACAGGGCGAAAAACAAAGAUUAUAGAAAUCGGCGAGCCGCAAUGCUGGAUCCACCACAUCAUCAAGGCAACUUGAACGUUAUGGAGUUCGGUGAAUGUUGGGCGUCUCACCAUAAUGCUCCACUGCCCAACCUUUUCGUCUCGUAUGCUUUGGCCCAUAAGGCACCGUACAGAACAGCCACGCCUUACGAUGAGAAUGACACAGCGUCCGCGUACUCCAGCAAGACCGCCUACGAUCGGAUGGAGAAAUUUAAAGGGAUGGCAAAAGAGUUGAAAGGGCCCGAGUAUGAUGUGACAACAGAGCCUCUUGACCACGCGUUGGUCAUGAUCUCUGGAGAACGCAGGAAACAUGGCAAGGAAGCAAUUGCAGGAGGCAUGUUCCCUAGUUCCUCCCGUAGCUCUCUCCCUGAAUACAAAGCUCGGUUAGGUAUCUCAAAAUCUUCUACAUGUAAACGCUCGACUCCAGCUAUGGUUGAGAUAGAGGUAUUCUAUACAAGUCCUUCUAUAUAUGUUUGUUUCUUACUUACUGUUGGAUUGAAGAUGCGAUUGCCAUGCCAUAUUUUGCAGGCCCGACUGGCGGAGUUGAGGCGAGUGGCGGCAGAGGAGAGGGCGGAGGAGAGGCGACUGGCUGAUGAGAGGACGCAGCAAGCGGUGCAGCAGGCGGUGCAGCAGGCGGUGUUGGCACAAACUAGUCAAUGCUUUGCAAUGUUU